AUCUUCGGAUUUGCUGGCCUAAUUUUUCAGUAAGAAGCAUUUGACAGAAGGAUUUGACAGCCUUCACAGUCACAGAUUAUUACAAAUCUUUACAAGUAGGAAAUGUAUUACUAGUAACAAAUAACCUAAGAUUUCGGCUUCUUGAAGAUGUGGUUUUCAACCAAAAAAGACCUGUUGUUAGCCCAAGCAGAAACUGAUGUUUUUUUCUCUCCAUGAGUAGGGAAGAUGAAUUUCUAGGGAUGAAGUUUUUUAGGUGUCUUGUUGGGAUUUUAUAAUUGCAUUUUAGGUGUCAGAGCAGAGUUGUUCUCACUUAGAUAUUUAAGAAUUGCAGCUUUUGGUUUGUCUGUCGUACAAAAGUGUGGGUCCUCAUUGUGCACUUCCUGUACCGUGAAGCUUAAGAGCACAAGCACAUUGCAAAUUUGGAAAAGACUUGUAAAAACGAUCAUAAAGGUAAGGUCCAGGUGAAAAGAUGUGAACCUUACAUGAGUACGACAGAUUUGGCAAGAUUUGCCUUCCUUGAGCCUUUGUUCUGACUAGAGGCAAAUAUAAAACAUAAAUGUAGGAAGAGAGGCUUUAUAGAUCAAGAAUGUCAUAUUUCUUUUUACAUUAAUUAAUAAUAAUGGCACGUAGAGCCUGCCAGUCUGGAGCCCAUGUGAACAGUAACGUCUGGAACAGAACUGUUAGAGCUUCUCAGCUGUGCCGUCCUGCUGAGCGCAGUGCUGCUUUGCUCUCUCCUCUUUUUCAGCUCCAGUUCCAGCGUCCUCUUUAGUGCUGCCAGUUCUGGGUGAAGGACGUGGUCUUUGGCCUUCACUUCUUCCAUUUACGGAAAGUUCAGAAGCUAAAAACUAAGGUAUCCAUUGCUCUGAUUGUGUUUGAUGGAGAAAGCGCAGUUUGGUGUCAUCUGCCACGCGUCUCCUGGAGCAUGGCACUGCUGGAAGGCCGCUGCAGUCUGGAAACGGGCUGGAAGGCAUGCAGAACUUCUCUUUCCUGCCCUUAGUCUGUAUGGUGUGGGUUUCAAAGCUGAGUGUGAAAUAUUGUAAAUACGGUCUUAAAGUUGAUGUUGUAGUGUAAAUAGGAUAGGACGCUUCAAGACGUUUCACUUUUUUACUUUUCCUCUUUUUUUGAAUCUGCAGUUAGUAGGCAAACAAUUCAUGUUCAAACACCCAUGAAUUACAAAAGCAAACACAUUUUGGGGCGGUAUAUAUUGUGACGCCCAUUUUAAAGAUGAGAUCAUGAGAACCUGAACCCUUACCCAACACAUCAUGCAGAUGCAAUGGCAUCUCUGGCAAUUAAACUCUCCCUUCAAUAUGUUAGCCACAGGGCCAGCUUCUGCUUCCUGCUCAUCUUGGGAUCUUAAUCUAGAAAUUUACACUGUGCAAUGAAUAUAUUUAGCAGGGUACCCUCCAUGAUGUGUUUUAAAUGAUGUAUUUUUAGUUAUGAAGUGUGUAAUUGCAGCUGUUGAAUUCCUGCAGCUGCUCAGAGCUGUGCAGGUGGACACAAUCCUUCUCCUCGUUCACUUGGUUCUGUCCUUUGGUCACGUGGAGUUUUCAGAUGUUAACGUUGUUUGUAGCCUAGACAAUCCUAUGGCUGCAGAUAGGACAAAACUGUGUCUGGCCUUCCAUACAGUGUCUGCUAUGUUAGUAAAAAUUGAAUCUGAGGCAAGAAGUAAGAGUGUGCAUGUACAGUCUGACAAAUUGCAUCCUCGUCUGCCUGCUCUAAUUGUCUUCUUGUUGGGCUAAUCUGCAUUGUGUAGCUGCAGCUUGAAGGAUCCCAUCUUAAGAGAAUGCUGAAGUCAGGGCUUCUAGGCAAAAUAAAGGGACAUUAAUUACUCAAAAUUGCUUAAAGCUGGAAUUGUGCCUCUAAUGACAGCACUAAUUACUCAGAAUCUGACAAUGUGAAAAGUUCCCUUUAAUUUGACUGAUCCUGGCUGUGGGUUGUAUAUCUCCUUGGCUCUCCACUGUCUGCCCACAGUUUUAAUUUGUUAUCAUCAUUGUAAGAUUACUGAGUAAAUGAAUUAUCUCUUAUUUGGGAGGGAUAUAUUGUGGCUGUUGAACAUGUCGUGUAUUUCCUUAUUUCCUCCUACUGGAGAAUAGUUCUGCUGUGUUUUGGUUCAUUUAGAGCAAGGUGACUCUUGACUGAUCUCCUUCCCCUCCAGGCAGUACAGAAAUGCACUUCAGUUUGGGCCUGGUGGGCUUUGGUUGGCUGGGUUUCCUUUCCUUGUUUGUUUUUGACUUUUGCCACCGAGUCAGAGCAGAAAAAGCAACACUAAAAGAGAUUUAAGGUGCAAAGGCAGCACUCGGAAAGUUAGUAAACGUAAGAAUGGACAUUUUUAAUGGAAUUUUAAUUGUAGUCCUUCACUUAUAUGCAGCAUGAUGGAUCAGUGCUGUAUUUGCCGCUGUGUUGUAACUGGUAAGUCAUUUAUUCACUGUUUUCCUACCAAUUCUGCUGCCAUUCUUGUUUUCAAAAUUUGUGUCUACAGAGUAGUAUUAAAGCUAGAGAAGUAACUUUGCCAUGUGGAUUUGAUGCUCCACUGAAGAAACCAGUAGGAGCUUUCCUGUUAGUUUCACUUAGUGUAGGAUCCAGUCACAGGAGUUUCAUCACAAGCAUUCCCUUCAAAACAUGCUUUAAUGUUCUGAUUCGUUUACAGUCAAAAUACUGAAUUGAUGUUACUUAAUUUAAACCCAGCUUUGUUGACAUAAAACUUUCCAGUGGUUUAUUCUCAUUGGGGCUUUGGUUUCCUUUUAUGUCUUCCUUUCUGUAUGGCUGAGUGAGCCAGUUAUUUCUGUGCCUGCAAAUAGGAAUAUUAGUUGUGUACAGUGACUGCAGUCAUGCAAGGACACAAUUAAAUGUCCUUGCCUUCGCAGGAUGCUUAGCAAUGAUUUAUAAUUACGUUCUAUUUUAACUUCUUCAUAACAACUUACAUAGUCAACAACUCAGUGUGGUCAAAAAUAAUUAUUUUUCAAAUUAUGUUUUUUCUUUUUCCUACAAGGAGUGGAGAAUACCAUUCUAAAUAAAACUGAUGUAUAAAUGAUGGGGGGAGGGCAACGCAAAACAGUGGUUUAUCUUUCUUUGUCCAAACAACACUGAAUAAGAAGCUUGUGCUACAAGGAAAGUUUGGCCGGGACACGGAGGGAGGGACCUCGGGAUGAAAACAGAGCAGUCAUGCAGUCGCUCUUAAUGAUUUCUCUUUUUUCCUACAUGCAGAAAAUUGCUGGCAUUCCCCAACAAAACCCACAAACACACCUACGUCAAAAAUGUAAAUAGGUUUCAAAAUCAAAUACUGAAAGGUCAAGAAAUGCCACGUGUAUAUACACGGCCAGAAGAAUUCUGACCCUACCUCUCCGUGCCUCCAACCUGGAGGCUGAAUUGAGGGGAUUGUGUUAGAAACAAACAUGCAAAACCCCAGAUAUGUGAGCACACAGUUGAAGGCUGUUCCCCAUUGUGCCCCAAUGCAUUUUUCUAUUUCCUAUUGGUUUUAGUUAUUUUGAUUGUUUUUAAGGUUUCUCGGUAAUGUAAAUGUUAUGUAGCCUGUUGCUGUCACUACUGACAUCUCUUUUCUUUAUGGUCCCAUUGUAUUUUAGAAGACUGUAAGCCUCGGGACUCAGGAUCUGUCCCUUUCAUUUGCUUAUCAAUAGCCAGGCUAGCUGCAGCCCUGCCAAAAUCCUUUUUCUUGGUUGUGGAGCUCCAUUGGGCUCAGAGAAGGGUGUUGAGAGGGCACGUUUCCCUGUUCUCUUCUCGAGGUACAGCAGCCUUUGGCAGCAUCCUUUGUACCAGCCAGGCUUCCCUAAGCCCCAUGAAAUUGCCCAAAUCUGGUGCAACAGUGCUGGAAUGCCGUUGGCCAAGCAAAGGGUGGCAUGUAUCUGCUUUGCGACGCGAGGCCGCGGUGUGGGCACGCAGCCCGGCGCCUGCCUUGGCCUUGCUGCCCGAUUCCGGUCUGUUGAGACUUGCAGCCAUCUUUGUUUGCUUUCUGUGGGCUUAACUUGGCCAAACAACUGGCUUACAGCUCUUUGGGCGUGCUGAAAGCUUGAGCCGCAGGCACGGUCUUUCUCCGGUAGCAUAGGUACGUGCCAAUAGACUUCAUGGUCUUCACAGAUCAGCCCCUCUCUGUGCUGAUUUUGUCACUGGAGCGUGAGCACCCCCAGAGUGUGGACGGUACAGCUCUGGCUGGCCGCACGCCGGUGGUUGUUGUACUGUGUCUUCUUGUGCAGAGCUGAGGCUGCAGGCUGCGGGAUGGAAGGAGAGCGACGGCCAGCUUGCCAAUUGCUUCCAGAGAGUGGUUCAGGCUUAGAAAAUAUUCAAAAAAAAAACACAGGGGUUUCCCUUUUGUUUCCUGAAUCCCUUUUUAUAUUAUUUCAGCUGCCUUUGGACAAAGGAAGGGGAAAAAAAGUUAACCACAGAGAGAUCAUGAGUACAUCUUUGGCGUUGUUUAAUAAGAAAAUACAGGCUUGUGUUGAAUUAUGCAGUUAGCGUGGGGCAGGCAGGUGGUCUCAGUCCUUUUGGUUCUUUUUUUCAGUGCCAGCAGAAGGUGAAGACACAGCAGGUGAGUGUGGGUUGGUGCUGUCCCCAGCACAAGUGUGAUGGAUGCUCUCAUCUCCAAGACAGGAACGAAGGGGCUGUGACAGACGCAGUCCCUCUGGCUGCUGCUGGUGCUCCCCUCCUGCCAGCAGAGCAGCGUGGCUCCCACCCAACCCUGUGUGCAUCACUGCGGGCUGGGGGUCCUCCACAUCUCAUAGAAGUGUGUUAGUGGCCCUUCCCUGCCGUACAGCUGCUGCUUGAGUUUGAUUUUGGGUAUCUUUUUGGAGAUCUCAAAGAUAUUCCCAGUUCAGCCAUUGAUGGGAAAGCUGUUGUUGGUCCUGAGGAGCAUUUUGCUGCAGAAAUCUGAAAAUUUGCUGCAGCCCUAUAGGUUAACGUGUGCGGUAACGUUUCAGGGUCUUCUGGUAGUAUUUGAAAAUGAUAAAGCGAUUGGCUCAGCAGAAGGCAAACAGAUGUCUCAGCUUGGCUUGUCCCAGCAAUCCUGCCGUUCACUCGGCUGUGACCUUUACCCGGGUCACCUUAUCUUCCUUGCAACUCAACUGGAUCGCUGUAAGGGGCACCAAUGUGACAUUCUCUUGAAAUGGAUUCAAAAUCCGCCCCGAGCUGCUGUGUGGGCGGAGGGGAGCACAGCGCCUACAGGCCUGCUGGGGGGUCAGGGUGCUCGGGCUGUAACUCAAGUCGUUAGGAUUAGUCCAUAAAGCCCUUCCUAAUCCACAUCUUAAGAAUCUGAAAGGUCGCUUGUGGUCCAGUAAUCCCUAGUAGCGAACGGGAGGAAUUAGUGGUGAUUGUUUGGAUCUUAAACCACCCCUUAAGAUUAAUGCUGGUCUCUGCCCCAAAAGCAUAUGUGUGUUAUUUUGGUGGGGUCCCAGAGGCCGUGCAAGGAGUGAGCAGCUGGGCUGUCACACAGCGUGACUUGGCACGGAGCGUUUAAGCAUUUUUAAUGAUGGAAGGGAUGGGCAGGAGGAUGCGCGUGCCCACCUGUAGCCGUCAUGUUGUGCCUGCUCAGCACCAGGUUCCCACACCCACCCCAAAACCUCCCAGCACUGCUGCUGGUGCCAACCAGAGGAGCAGAGGGAGCUUGGGUGGUGGGACAGCGGGCUGGGCUCCCCCCAUGGAGCUGUGGUGGUGCCAGAGUGACACGUCUGCCCAGAGGUGCAGAGUGGGUGCUGGUGGCCAUGCUCUGGGUGUGAUUUUUUCUGUGCCCUGUGGGGCCUGGUUUGCUGUGAUGUCUGGGUACAUCACUGCUGGUGAUGUCAGGGCACGUGCGUGUGGAAGGGAUCACUGAGCAGUGGAACUGCACGGGCACGCCUGGCUUUGGCACACAGAGCGAUGCCGCUGUGCUGUCCUUGCUGUGUUCCAUCGGGGGCUCCUGCUGCGCCGUGCAGAGCCGGGGGCCACCCAGCCCUUAUUGCAGGAGGGAAAAGCAGAGGGAAGGAGAUUAAAAGAUUUGCCAGCAACAGCAAGCAAUCAGCGGCUGCGCUGAAAAUAGAAACCGCGCUCCUGGUUUGCACUCCCUGAACCUGGCCGCCAGACAGCACGGCUGUAUUAAAAAUGUACAUGCAAAUAUAGAGGAACGUUUCCUUCUUCAAACCCGCCCCGCUCACAGGUUGCGCCUUUGAGUCAGGGCUCCUCGCGGUGAGGUGACACCCAGCACUGCCAUCAGAGGCUCUGCCACCCACAGGGCUGAAUGCAGCACAGCCCUGCAGCACCCAGCAGCACCGAGCACGCCACUCAUGUCUGUGCUGACACAGAGCAGCAUUCAGUGGGGCAGGCUGCUGCUCGGAGCGCUGCGACGGCUGCGUUUCAGGAAGCCCGAAGGGAUGCUGUGGCGAUAGCCGUCAAUAGGCCUUUGUGUUCCGGAAAAUGUUCCCUCUCACGGCGUACCACAGGCUCGGGGUGGCAGCUUGGGAGCAGGCUGGCAUUUUAACUAGUAGGCAGUGCAUUUGUGGGUGCUGGUAAAUCCGACGCAGGUGAGAUGUGCAGCAGAACAGGGCUGAGGUGCUGGCAGUGCCAUCGAUGGUCUCGUGCCUUUGGGUUUGUGCUCGCGUUAGUUCUGUUCCCACAUUGUUCCUCUAUGCCGUAAACCCGCAGCAGGACCAAAAAUUAAAAGCAGCACGUGGAUGCAACCCAACCAAAGAGCCAGAGCAAACUUCAUGGGAGGAACGGGGUUUGGAAAUGCAGCACUGAGUCUUCCAAGUAGAGUCCAUGUUAAAGGCUCUUAGAGAAGCAGUGAUGGAGCAAUCUCCUUUCAAAGGAGGGGCAGCUGGUCGUCUCCGCGCUUGCAGGGCCGUGGUGCUGCACAUCAGGGCUGUGUGCUGCCGGUGUCACUUUGCCACGUCCCUCUGUAUCUCAAGUUUGUGUGUGGUAGGGCUCCAUAGAGGGGUCUGUGCCAUAGGACAAGGGGAAACGGCUUCAAACUGAAAGAAGGCAGACUUAGACUGGAUAUGAGGAAAAUGUUUUUUAUGAUAUGGGCAGUGAGGCAGUGGCACAGGGUGCCCAGAGAGGCUCUGUCUUUUGUUACUGCUCGGAGCAUGGGCUCAAGCAGUGAGCAGUUCCCGCGGCCCCUUGCUAUGCAGUAACAGUGUGACACCGCCAAAACGGGGCCAUUGUGCCCCACUGCCCCUCGCCGGCCCCAGGGCUGAGGCAGGAGAGCUCGGCUGCUGGCUCUGGUCCUCUCUGUCAGACAGCAGCUAAUUGGAAGGGCUCGACCUCCAAAUGCAUUGCAAACACCGGGGUAAUGACUUCCUUUCCCAGUUACGGACCCGUGGGUGGUUGGCACUCCGGGUAAGGGCUUCUCUUGCUGUGAUUCUCCUGUGCUGCAUGACCUUGCUUGAGCCGAGGAGGUUUGACUUUUCAAAAGGUUCAUUUACUCCUAGAUAAAGAUUAAUUUUCAUUUUAAUUUUUAACCUAAACCGCUUAUGGGAAUGUGUUUUUGCAUUCCACCUGAGAUGCUGUUAUCUGUGUCCAGCUUUGCCCCCUCCAUGGCUUGCUUUACCCGGCAGGUAAUGAGCAGCCUCCCUUCCUCUGCUCGGCUGGGACCUGGCGCUGGGUUCCGCGUGGUUCUGUUACGGUGUGAUGAGGUGCAGUUCCUACACCACUUCCUUUGCACGGAGCCCCAGAGUCCUUCAGCAAUGACAGUGGCGAUGCCGGGCCGGCCCCGGGGGAGCUGCAGCACAGAGCUGCACUCACAGCACGGCCCUCUGCUCCCAGCGCUCUGCCCAGAGCCGCACAGACGGCCAUUGUCCCUGCAGGGAUGUGCAGCACUUCUCCAGACUCCCGGUCUCCUGCUCUCACCGCAGGAAAACGCUGUUGUGUGUAAUGCGGGCAGGCCUGGGAGGGAGCACUGCAUGGUGGGAGCAGUGCUUGGCUUCCCCUGUCUGGCAGCUCUCACUGCAGCUGGUGGGAGCAGCAGGCCCGGCACACAGCCAUGCAGCAGCCCAGCUCUGCAGGACGUGGGUCUUGUGUCCCUUUUGUUGUGUAAAGAGAAGAAGCGGCACCAGGUGACGCUACACGGGAGCAGGAAGAAGUGCACCCCACUCAUAAAAGCAGGACGCGUGGAACUGAACGAUGGCUCUGCGGUUUGCUGUGGUGAACUCAUUUUUCACCAGUGUUUGCACCAGCAGCAAGGGUCAGUCAGGGCUGUAGGGGAGCACAGUGCUGGGCAGUGCUUCCAGCAUGGCAGCUUUGGUGUCUGCAGUCUCCUGCAGCUGGGGGGACCCUGCACAGGGAUGGACCCAGGGGUGCUGGGUAGCCCCCAGCCCUAAACCCUUCGAGUGAGGCUGGGAGAGGGACUGCAAGCCCCAAGCAGAGCAGAGGAGCUGCAGGUGGCUGUGCACACCAGGGGUGCGAUGUGGUGGCACAUGGCGCGUGGGAAGGAGGCGUAGCCCUCUGGCUGCACAGUCUAUAGGUAGAACUUUAGGACAGCCCAGAUUCAGACUGUCCGUAAAUAGUAAGAGAGAAGCAACAGAGCUCCAAAUCUGCAGAAGGAGGUAACAAGUGUGUCCCGAAUCUUUUGUAGAUUGCCUGGCUCUGUUUCUCUUCACUGGGAGAAAAUGCUUCGCUGCAAGGACAGCAGGAGGUGGAAGCAGCUGGAAGGGGCUGUGCACAGCUUCCUGCAUCGCCUGGAGCCAGUCACUGCGCUGCAGGACCUGCUGCUCCUGUGCUGUGGGGUGGGUGCUGGCUGCGAAGGAUUAUUUGGGGAUUGGCAUUUGUGAGGUAAAGAACUAUUGAAAGUGGAAGGUGAAGAGCUGCUGGUGUCCAGAGAAGAGGUUGGAUGAGGAGAUGGGAGAGAUGGAAUAUAAAGAGAUUUCACGAUUGCUGUCUAAUUGUGAAACAGGCGUGGGUCUCUCAGGUUCUGGACAAAUUAUUGCAGGCAGAAGAAUGGCAAUGAACCCAGCCAGCCCCAUGGCGUGGGGACCUGCACCUCCCCGAGCUGUGUUCGGACUUUGCCUUUUGCAGACAAAAAUUCCCUACCUUUUGUGGAGGUCUGGGCGUGGAGGAGAGGAUUGUGCAAAGCCCAGCAGCGGCCCUGGCAUCAAAUACUGUCAGUAAAUACAGUGUGAGCGUCCUAAUCAGCAUCUCUCAGCGGAUUGCAGAAGGGCAGGCUCCACCAGCAUGGCUGCCCUCGGGGCCCUGUUCGCCUGCGGGCUCUGCGCCGCGCUUUUCAUCGCCGCACUCCUCUAUGUUGUAAGAGGUUUUAAACGAUCGCCUUCCAAUUUGCCUCCCGGUCCGGUUCCUCUCCCCAUCAUCGGCAACCUGCACCUGCUGGACAUCAGGAGGCAGGACAGGUCUCUGAUGAAGAUUUCAGAGAAAUACGGGCCAGUGUUCACUGUCCACCUGGGGAUGCAGCAGGUGGUGGUGCUGACUGGCUACGAGGCGGUGAAGGAUGCGCUUCUGAACACGGCGGAUGUGUUUGCAGACAGACCAGCUAUCCCCAUCUUCCACCACAUCCAACAUGGAAAUGGUGUGUUCUUCUCUUCCCAAGAGCUCUGGAAGACGACGCGGCGGUUCACCCUGGCUGCUAUGCGGGAUCUGGGCAUGGGGAAGCGGCUUGCAGAGGAAAGGAUGCUCGAGGAGCUUCAGUUUCUUAUCAAGCUGAUCGAAUCCUUCCAAGGUGGGCCUUUCCGACUUCGGUUUUUGAAUGCGGCUCCCACCAACAUCACCUUUGCUAUACUCUUUGGGAGAAGGUUUGAUUACGGAGACCCAACAUUUGUCACUCUGCUGCGACUCAUCGAUGAGGUUAUGCUCCUUCUUGGCUCCCCAUUCCUGCACCUAUUUAAUUUCUACCCAUUUCUUGGAUUUCUUCUUAAACCUCACAAGAUGAUACUGAAAAAAGUAGAAGAGGUGUGUGUGAUCCUAAAGAAGCAUAUCCAGGAAAGCAAAGCAAAUAUUAAUGAAAACAACCUGACGAGCUACAUUGAUGCACUGGUCUUCAAACAAGAGGAGGAGAAUAAAAGCAGUACGCUUUUUGAUGAUGCAAAUGUGUUGGCCUCUGCACUUGACUUGCUCAUGGCUGGCACUGAAACAACAUCCACCACCCUGCAGUGGGCCGUCCUGCUGAUGAUGAAGCACCCCGAGAUUCAAAAAAAGGUGCAUGCAGAGAUUGAGCGCGUUCUUGGCCCUGACUGCCUGCCAACCUUUGAGGACCGGAAAAACAUGCCCUUCACCAACGCGGUCAUCCACGAGGUGCAGAGAUUUGUCACCCUUCUGCCACACGUUCCGCGGUGCACCUCUGCUGACACGCACUUCAAAGGCUAUUUCAUACCCAAGGGAACAACAGUGAUUCCUCUGCUCUCCUCGGUGCUGCUGGAUAAAACACAGUGGGAAACACCAGACGAAUUCAACCCCAACCACUUCCUUGAUGCAGAUGGGAACUUUGUAAAGAAGAAAGCGUUCCUGCCCUUCUCCACAGGGCGGAGGAACUGCAUUGGAGAAAGCCUUGCCACGGUGGAGCUCUUCAUCUUCUUCACGGGCUUGAUCCAGAAGUUCACCUUUAAGCCUCCGCCCGGGGUGAAAGAAUCAGAGCUGGACACGGCGGCAGAGGCCGGGUUCACCAUGAGGCCGUCCCCGCAGAGCGCCUGUGCUGUGCUGCGCCGGGAGCCCCAGCCUCGCAGCGCAGAAAAACCCACGUAGCCGCUUGCUGCGGAGCCCAGCAGCGCACGCAGGAGCAACCAGAGCCCUGUGCAGGAGUUAGAAGUAAUGCCUUCUUACUCAAAGCCUUUCAAGAACUGGCUCUGUGCUUAAAAUAUGCGUUGAGCAAAUGGUUUUCUACGAAGCAGAGGAGAGCUGGGCGUGAGGUUAGCUGGGAACACCGCCCGACAUGUGACGGGGAGUGAUAGAACCAUCACUGCUUCACACAUUAAAUGCACAAUAGAAGACCCCAUCCUCAAGGGAUACACUGUCAGCAAGCAAUGCUUCAAGAGGGCAAGAGAGAGGCUGGAGGCCCAGGGCACCAAGCAUGGGGACAUCAGAGAAGCUGUGGUGGGAACCUUUUCUUCUGCCUCUUCAAGCAAGAGCUGAAGGUUAGGCAAGGAAAAAAGUGAAAAGCCAAGGCUAUCAUCAGUAACCGUAGCUGAGCACAAAGAGAAAUCUCAUUGCCCUGGAGAAACCGCUCGGCAGACUGGAGGCUCUCUGGCUGAGCUGUUUGUCAGUAGGAUCAGGGCAUGCAGAACCUCUCAGCCAUGGGUACGAGUUGAACCCACAGUGUUGUUGUCACUCUGGGCUCAGGUUCAGCUCUCCAUGGCAUUUGCUUUUCUGUGAAAUACAGAGUUGGGUGGUAAGCACAUCUGGUAUAAUGAAGACGUGGGAGGAUUGAAACUUUAUUGGGUUCCCAUGAAGGGAGGGACAGAAACAAUGUGAUAAAGUACACGAUAAGCUAAUGCAUAUGGAGAAUAGCAGUUCACAGGCAGCUGUAUGGAUGGAAAAUUGCCUGGGCUAUACGUCAGCUGGAAUAAGACUGCAGAAUAUGAUGGCUGAUAAGAGUGCUAUGGACAGGGGCAGCAGACAGAGCAAAGGAAAAUAACUACAACCAGGUCUGAGCCCAAUUCUCCUUGCAUGCAUGUUGGCUCCAC
Numida meleagris (helmeted guineafowl) is the source of this 11603-nucleotide RNA transcript. It is a transcript of the gene named cytochrome P450 2W1-like, with no coding region annotated. NCBI's taxonomy places the organism in Eukaryota, Metazoa, Chordata, Aves, Galliformes, Numididae. The transcript is spliced from 10 exons. The record is from RefSeq and is a predicted model, not a curated record.